Molecule: long non-coding RNA, 3118 nt
Filed under: Homo sapiens (human)
Lineage: Eukaryota; Metazoa; Chordata; Mammalia; Primates; Hominidae
Description: non-protein coding lnc-PPP6R2-2:2
Source: RNAcentral
GGACUACAGGUGCCCACCGCCAUGCCCGGCUAAUGCUUUUUUUUUUUUUUUUUUUUUUUUUUUUAGUAGAGACGGGGUUUCACUGUGUUAGCCAGAAUGGUCUUGAUCUCCUGACCUCGUGAUCAGCCCGCCUCAGCCUCCUAAAGUGCUGGGAUUACAGGUGUGAGCCACCACGCCCGGCUUGUUUUUUGUUUUUUAACAGACAGGGUCAACCUCCAACUCCUGGACUCAAGCAGUUCUCCCACCUCAGCCUCCCAAGUAGCUGAGACUACAGGUUUGUGCCACCAUGCCUGGCUCUUUUUUUUUUUUUUUUUCCUUUUUGAGAGCUGCACUCCAGCUCUGUCACCCAGGCUGGAGUGCAGUGGCACGAUCUCAGCUCACUGCAACCUCCACCUCCCGGGUUCAAGCAAUUCUCCUAACUCAGCCUCCAGAGUAGCUGGGAUUACAGGCAUACAAUGCCCAGCUAAUUUUUUGUAUUUUUAGUAGAGACAGGGUUUCACCAUGUUGCCCAGGCUGGUCUCAAACUUCUGAGCUCAUGCAAUCCGCCUGCCUCAGCCUCCCAAAGUGCUAAGAUUAUAGGCAUGAAACACUGUGCCCGGCCUCAUUUUGUAUUUUUUGUAGAGAUGUGGGUUUUGCUAUAUUGACCAAGCUGGUCUAGAACUCCUGGGCUCAAGUGCUCCUCCCACUGUGGGCUUCCAAAGUGCUAGGAUUACAGGCAUCAGCCAGCACGCCUAGCCUUUUUUUUUUUUUUUUUUUUUUAAUUUUGUUUUGAGACAGGUUCUUGCUGUAACCUAGGCUGGAGUGCAGUGGUGAUCAUGGCUCACUACAGCCUCGAAUUCCUGGGCUCAAGCAAUCCUCCAGCCUCAGCCUCCUGAGUAGCUAUAACUACAGGUGCAUGCCACCACACCUGGCUAAUUUAUUUUUAAUUUUGGUAGAGACAGGGUCUCACUAUGUUUCCUAGGCUAGUCUGGAACACCUGGCCUCAAGUGAUCCUCCUGCCUCGGCCUCCUAAAGGGCUGGAUUAUAGGCAGGACCACUGCGCCCAGCCCAAGAGGUGAGUUUUCAAGAGCUGAGAAGGCGGAGCCAGGCCCUUUCCUAAGCUGACCUGUACACUCCAGUCACCCCACAGUCCUGCCCAGCCCCUCACAAGCCAGAUCCCUUGUCACCCCACAGCCCUGCUGGCCCCUCUCAAGCUGGACCCCUCAUCUCUCAAGCAGGCUGCACUGCACUCAUUUCCAUGAUGCUCCCAUGCGUACAGUUGCGGGGGUAUCCUGUGAGGGCUAAGGGGGAGUCCUGUGAGCACUAUGGACUCUGAACCACUUACUCUCCAUAUCACUGGCACAUAGUGUGAACUCCUAAAGGGCAAGAGCCUUGUCUACUCACUUACAUGCUGGGCACCAGUAUUGUGGGGCUGGGCUGGUGAUAGCUGCUCAAUGUGAUCUACGGUUUUGUUUUUUGAGACAGAGUUUCACUCUUGUUGCCCAGGCUGGAGUGCCAUGGCGCGAUCUCGGCUCACCACAACCUCCGCCUCCUGGGUUCAAGCGAUUUGCCUGCCUCAGCUUCCUGAGUAGCUGGGAUUACAGGCGUGCGCCACCACGCCCGGCUAAUUUUGUAUUUUUAGUAGAGACAGGGUUUCUCUGUGUUGGUCAGGCUGGUCUCAAACUCCUGAACUCAGGUGAUCUGUCCGCCUCGGCCUCCCAAAGUGCUAGGAUUACAGGCGUGAGCCACCAUGCCCAGCCUUCAAAGUGAUUUACUGAAUGAGUAACUGAAUCACCAGCUCCUUGCCUUUUGCUUAUGUUGGCAUUUUGGGAGAGGGGUUACCUGAAACAGGACCCCCUCCCCUGUCUCUUCUCAGCAUCCAAGACUUAUUUACCUAAGCCCAUUCCUUCCUCUGAGCUGCAUGCAUCCCAACUAGAGUCUUCCUUCCAUAUCGCAGAACCAAGCACAGUCCUGGGGCUUUGCAGUGCUUAGCUGGGCUGAGCUGUGACUGAGUUGCACAGUGGGUGCUCCCUAAGUCUGUAAGUGACUAAAACGACCUCGAUCUUCCCUGUGACUUCCAGGUGAGGGAGGAAAGGCAAGAGUCAUGUGCUCAGGCCCCGGUGGAUCCACUGCCAGGUUUCUGCACAGACUCAGUGAUCUGCAGGUGCCCAGAUCAUUGCUAUGGAGGGUUUCGCUCAUGGACCUGGGUCCCCAACACUCUGCCAGCUGACCAUGCCCCUAGUCCGAGCUGAGCAUCCCCAGCAAAAGCUCAGGAGUCCAAGCACACACAGCCUUCAACAGCUCAGAAAUAACUUUCCGAAUGGGUUUUAGAAAAUAACACGAGAAUGUCUUAAGGAACAGAGGAACCUCCUUUUUUUUUUUUUUUUUUUUUGAGAUGGAGUCUCACUUUGUCGCCCAAGCUGGAGCGCAAUGGUGCAAUCUCUGCUCACUGCAACCUCCCCCUCCCGGGUUCAAGCCAUUCUCCUCCUCAGUCUCCCGAGUAGCUAGGACUACAGGAGUGUGCCACCUCGCCCGGCUAAUUUCUGUAUUUUUAGUGGAGAUGUGGUUUCACCAUGUUGGCCAGGAUGGUCUCAAACUGCUGACCUUGUGAUCUGCCUGCCUCGGCCUCUCAAAGUGCUGGGAUUACAGGCAUGAGUCACCGCGUCCGGCCAGGAACCUCUUAACUUCUUUUGUGAUUUUGUGGGGAACAAUCUGGGCAACAGUAUUGAACUAAGAAAGGUUUUCAACCCUGGGCAGGUCACCACACUUCUUGGUACUCAGCCCCCACCCAGUGAUGCUGUUUGAGGCUGUGCACCUGCUGGGGACCGUGUGUGGUGGGAGGGGCUCCAGAGAGUGCUAGAGUUAAUGCUUUUCUGUUUAGAAGACUAUAUGCUUCUCAUGGCCUCUUGGAGUUCAGCAGGGCCUUAGAAAGCAUCUCCCAACCACAGAGACGCGCUGCCUGGCUUUCCUGAUGAUGAUGAUUUGGCCUGAUCUUGGACACCUGCGGUAAUAGAGAGCUCACUACCCCUCACGAGGUUCCUUGCGCCAGCGCGGGGAAGCCUCCCUCCAUCUGCAGGUGGGCCUCCCCUGUGCUGGUCAGCUCCCUGGUGUGUGUUACACAGGACACAGAGAAGAUCAU